UACGUAGGACUGAGCGUUGUCCGGAAUCAUUGGGCGUAAAGAGCGUGUAGGCGGCCACUUAAGUCCUGCGUGAAAUCUUGCGGCUCAACCGCAAGCGGUCGUGGGAAACUGGGUGGCUAGAGUGCGGGAGAGGAGAGUGGAAUUCCUGGUGUAAGCGGUGGAAUGCGCAGAUAUCAGGAAGAACACCCGUGGCGAAGGCGGCUCUCGUGGAACGCAACUGACGCUGAGACGCGAAAGCGUGGGGAGCAAACAG
This 253-nucleotide ribosomal RNA is filed under the name uncultured bacterium. Its description in RNAcentral is "partial 16S ribosomal RNA". It matches the Rfam family "Bacterial small subunit ribosomal RNA", at positions 524 to 775 of the family's 1533-position model. The record is from RNAcentral.